Molecule: ribosomal RNA, 434 nt
Filed under: uncultured bacterium
Lineage: Bacteria
Description: partial 16S ribosomal RNA
Rfam family: Bacterial small subunit ribosomal RNA
Source: RNAcentral
AGCGAACGCUGGCGGCAGGCCUAACACAUGCAAGUCGAACGAACCUUUCGGGGUUAGUGGCGGACGGGGGUGUAACACGUGGGAACGUGCCUUUAGGUUCGGAAUAACUCAGGGAAACUUGUGCUAAUACCGAAUGUGCCCUUCGGGGGAAAGAUUUAUCGCCUUUAGAGCGGCCCGCGUCUGAUUAGCUAGUUGGUUGAGGUAAUGGCUCACCAAGGCGACGAUCAGUAACUGGUCUGAGAGGAUGAUCAGCCACAUUGGGACUGAGACACGGCCCAAACUCCUACGGGAGGCAGCAGUGGGGAAUCUUGCGCAAUGGGCGAAAGCCUGACGCAGCCAUGCCGCGUGAAUGAUGAAGGUCUUAGGAUUGUAAAAUUCUUUCACCGGGGACGAUAAUGACGGUACCCGGAGAAGAAGCCCCGGCUAACUUCGUG